This 253-nucleotide ribosomal RNA is filed under the name uncultured bacterium. RNAcentral's name for it is "partial 16S ribosomal RNA". It matches the Rfam family "Bacterial small subunit ribosomal RNA", at positions 524 to 776 of the family's 1533-position model. The record is from RNAcentral.
UACGUAGGGUGCAAGCGUUGUCCGGAAUUAUUGGGCGUAAAGAGCUCGUAGGCGGUCUGUCGCGUCUGCUGUGAAAACUCAGGGCUUAACCCUGAGCUUGCAGUGGGUACGGGCAGACUAGGGUGCGGUAGGGGAGACUGGAAUUCCUGGUGUAGCGGCGAAAUGCGCAGAUAUCAGGAGGAACACCGGUGGCGAAGGCGGGUCUCUGGGCCGUAACUGACGCUGAGGAGCGAAAGCAUGGGGAGCGAACAGG